RNAcentral lists this ribosomal RNA (698 nucleotides) under Ophiostoma piceae. RNAcentral's name for it is "eukaryotic LSU rRNA". It matches the Rfam family "Eukaryotic large subunit ribosomal RNA", at positions 148 to 873 of the family's 3401-position model. The record is from RNAcentral. RNAcentral also lists the same sequence under 2 other names. Lineage: Eukaryota; Fungi; Ascomycota; Sordariomycetes; Ophiostomatales; Ophiostomataceae.
AUUUGGAGAGGAUGCUUUUGGCGCGGCGCCGUCCGAGUUCCUUGGAACAGGACGCCAUAGAGGGUGAGAGCCCCGUACGGGCGGCCGCCUAGCCUUUGUAAAGCUCCUUCGACGAGUCGAGUAGUUUGGGAAUGCUGCUCAAAAUGGGAGGUAAAUUUCUUCUAAAGCUAAAUACCGGCCAGAGACCGAUAGCGCACAAGUAGAGUGAUCGAAAGAUGAAAAGCACUUUGAAAAGAGGGUUAAAAAGUACGUGAAAUUGUUGAAAGGGAAGCGCCUGUGACCAGACUUGCGGCCCGUGGAUCAUCCGGUGUUCUUCACCGGUGCACUCCGCGGGCUGCAGGCCAGCAUCGGUUUUCCUAGGGGGAUAAAGGUCGCGGGAACGUAGCUCCCUCGGGAGUGUUAUAGCCCGUGGCGUCAUGCCUCUGGGGGGACCGAGGACCGCGCUUCGGCAAGGAUGCUGGCGUAAUGGUCACCGGCGACCCGUCUUGAAACACGGACCAAGGAGUCAAGCAUUGGGGCGAGUGUCUGGGUGCCAAACCCGCACGCGAAAUGAAAGUAAACGCAGGUGAGAGCUUCGGCGCAUCACCGACCGAUCCUGAUGUUCUCGGAUGGAUUUGAGUAAGAGCCUUACCGCUUGGACCCGAAAGAUGGUGAACUAUGCCUGUAUAGGGUGAAGCCAGAGGAAACUCUGGUGGAGG